UCCAGCUCCAAUAGCGUAUAUUAAAGUUGUUGCAGUUAAAAAGCUCGUAGUUGGAUUUGUGGUGCGACGGAUCGGUCCGACCUUUGGUGGGUACUCGAUGUUGUCGCGCCAUCCUUGAGUGGUUCGUCCUGGCAUUAAGUUGUCGGGGCGGCAGCCGCUCAUCGUUUACUGUGAGAAAAUUAGAGUGUUCAAAGCAGGCUUAUGCCGUUGAAUAUACUAGCAUGGAAUAAUAAGAUAGGACCUCGGUACUAUUUUGUUGGUUUGAGAACCAAGGUAAUGAUCAAUAGGGACAGUUGGGGGUAUUCGUAUUCAGUUGUCAGAGGUGAAAUUCUCGGAUU
This 338-nucleotide ribosomal RNA is filed under the name Chaetoceros debilis. Its description in RNAcentral is "SSU rRNA". It matches the Rfam family "Eukaryotic small subunit ribosomal RNA", at positions 584 to 926 of the family's 1831-position model. The record is from RNAcentral. Lineage: Eukaryota; Bacillariophyta; Thalassiosirophyceae; Chaetocerotales; Chaetocerotaceae.